GCCCACUUUUGUUCGCAGUCAUAUGACGUCACGUACGUCAGUCGACGUGAGCUGCAUGAAGGUAUUUCGGUGACGGUCCUCCGCUGCGCGAGCGUGACUCGUGCUUCAGUGAGGACAUCAGCCAGAGGAUGCGCGUGCCCGAUCGCCUGAGGGUCGGUCCAGCGCGUCACGCGCACGCACCUGCUGACCAAAGAUCCGAAGAGCUACCUGCUGCCUACAGCAUGCACAUACCAGACAGACUGUCCUUAACAGAUACUCCUGAUCUGAGUCCACGACCUCUCUUCACUAAACACACUUCAUCAAUGUGGGACCUGCAGCACGGGUCCUGGGACAGGGAGGCGUUCAUGAGAGAGCCUGUCCAGAGUCCACUGCGAAGAUCUUAUAGUGACCAGGCUAUUGGUCGAACCCCACCUGGAACCCCCACACACUCCAGACAAACACUUCGCUCCCAGUCUCCCCACAGUAUUGGACGCCCACCCGUCAUGCUUACAGACUCAUCCCCACCAAAGUCCCCAGGGCACCCCGCCAUCCCACCCAACCUGCUGUCCCCACAGAGCAUGCUGCAGGCCGCCAAGGAGCUGGGCCAGCAGGCGUCUCAGAAACUCCUCCAGACCGUAACCAAAAAAUACUCCUCCAGGUUUGGUUACCCAGAAAACCAUCCCUCUCAGGCUGUGGAGGUUCAACCUGAUCAAAGCAGGACAAGUGCCUCGCAGGAGUUCUGGCUCAGUCCUGAGGAGGACACAGGUACUGCUGUCGAGUUCAUGGUGCUCCGCAGACAGGUGGUGAAGAUGAGCAGGAGGAUAGCAGGGGUGGAGAGACAGAACGCAGAGCACAAACAGACAGAGCUGGUGCUGUUCUCUCUGUUACUGUCUGCCUGUCUGAUCAACGGCUGGCUGUGGAUGCGCAGAUGACGGAUCACACUCCAUAACACUACACUAUACAGACAGCACUACAAGAGCAACAGAGCUGUUUACCGGGAAGUGCAUAACUGCACAUAGUUUUUAUAGUGCUUUACUAAAUUUGUUCUCUACAAAAUGAUGGUAAAUGGAUGGUUUAGAAACCACUCCUAUAGAGGAUUGUCAUCAGAAUGAGGCAUGAAUGUCUGAACCAUCCACUCGUAUGUGUCGUGAUCACGGUAGUGACAUGGGCUACUUUGUGUUACAAGUGAUUUGAGGAACUUGAGCAUGUUUUUCUCCUCGUGAGAGUUUCACUGAUGAUGUCAUUCAGUAAUGCAGUCUCUCUGGCUCUUUUGAUCAGACUAGUAGCUAGGUUUUGUAUUUGAUUUAUUCUGCAAAUUAAGUAAAUGCAAAAAUAGAUUUCCUGCAUGCUUUACAAGCCUCACAGCUAAGUAUUUAAGAAAGUAUAAAUAUGAGUAUUUAUUUAUAUUUCCUUUUUUUCUACCAAUUGGGCAUUUGAAUAGCCUUCAGCCAUUUUAACUCACUUGCCCAGCCUGAUGUAUGAUGAAUAUUUAAAAUAAUAAAAAUUGUAAUUAGUCUCAGAUGUCUCAUUCUCUUA
Molecule: long non-coding RNA, 1515 nt
Filed under: Sinocyclocheilus anshuiensis
Lineage: Eukaryota; Metazoa; Chordata; Actinopteri; Cypriniformes; Cyprinidae
Description: lncRNA (ENSSANG00000042479.1)
Source: RNAcentral